CUCGGAGGCGGCGCCGGGAUCCCGGUGUUCCAGAGCGCCGUCUCCCUUUCCCCUCCUUCCCUCGGGGCCCCUGAGGUGUUCGCUUUGCGCUGUGCCCAAAAUCCCGGCUGGGACUGAGGGCAUUCCUCACCCGCCCUGGUUUUUCUGCCUCCGAACAGCGGCAGAGCCCCAGCUGUGCUUGGCACUAAACCAGACCCCAAACUUGUUCUUUGCCUGCACCUCGCUGUACUCUGGUUAAUAUUUGUUUUUUCUGAUACACUUCAGUAAUCUGGGAGAGACUUAGGCAGGUAAACAGAUGAAAUAUUUUCGUUAACUGAGUUAAUACUAACAUCUGCCGAAGAAAGAAGUAGCCUCUCAGGAGAGAGGAAUGCUUCAAAAGUUAUAAAAGUUGCACAGCGGACACAGACCCCUGUCUUUGAGUUGAACCUUGAGGCUAUACAUUGAUUUUCCUGUUGAUAACCUGAAGCUCGUUUUCCUGCAAUACAGGGUAUGCUGUUCCUCCACCGACAUCACAGCCGAACUAUUCGAGCACGUACACCAUCAUUCAACAGCCUGCCACCACCACUUCUGUAGUAGUAGUUGGUGGCUGCCCUGCCUGCAGGUCCCCAGGAGCAGCCUCGUGUGUGGCUGUGCAAUGAUGUAACUGAUGGAGUAACCUAAAGACCGUCAAGAGGAUUUCUGCCAUCAGAAAUACAAAGCAGUCUGUUGCACUGUGACAUGUAUUCAUGUGGCUGAUUGAAAUCAAAACCAUUUCCAACUUAAUAUAUUAUGGUGUUGAGGAGAAAUACACAGUAUUGGUCUGUUAUUUGAAUUGGUGUCUAUUUUACUGCAGUCAUGAGUGAUCUUGGGGUUGAUAAGCUGGUUCAAGUACAUUUUUAAAUGGUUUUUAGUAGUAAAAAGUACAAAGUAUGUCCAGAAGGAGCCUCUCUGAAGUUGGUCAUGUGCCUGUGGUGGCUAUAGUUGCAUUCCUGCCCUUCUCCCUCUGAAGCUCUGCUGCCAUCUGAGGGAUGAGGCUCCUGUGUCACAAGCUGUGCCUCUUGCUCAGAGCUCAUUCAUCACUGGGCAGUGCUGCUUUCUAGUCACAGACUCCAGGGUUGGUGUGUGCUCCACCCUUCCCUGCACUCUCAGAAUGUCCUUGGUGGCUCUAGUCCUGUUGUCUCUGUGUGUGUUCUUCUCCCAGCCCUGAUGUACAGAGAAUUAAAGAGAGUUUCACAAUCUUGUCAGCUUUAUGGCUUCUAGUUGACAUUUAAGGUUUGGCCAAGUCCUGCUUUUAAGCUAUUUUAUGUUCCCAAGUACAUAUUGAGUCAUUACAGGCACUUACUUUAGAUACCCUGCUGUGGAAUUAUCUUUUAGCUUGGACUAUGCAGCCUGGCUGAUUUACUUGUGGUCACUUUCAUUUUCUUUUUUCUCUGUCUUUUGUUGUUUGCAAUAACUAACUGCUCAGGAAUGUUUGCUUUCCUGUUAUUUAACAGAAGAAAGUUCUUUU
Molecule: RNA transcript, 1486 nt
Organism: Ficedula albicollis (Collared flycatcher)
Lineage: Eukaryota; Metazoa; Chordata; Aves; Passeriformes; Muscicapidae
Exons: 3
Source: RefSeq, a predicted model, not a curated record